CCGACCACCGCCGCUGCUGGGAUCAUUCCAACAGCCGCUGAGUCGCCUCUCCAUGUUUCUUUCUUCUUCUUCUAUUACUCAGUCAGCCAUGUCGCAGGUAUCGUCAGGAUGUGACGCCGCCAUGGUCGUGGUGGGGUAUUGUCGUCAACUGUCGCCACUCCGCCGUCGCUAGUGGUUUUCAUUCAGCGAUCUCCGCCGCCAUCUCCGGCCUUUAGCGUCGUUGAUGUCGAUUCCGUCGAUCAAGUGUUUCACUGAUUCAAGGGUUCGACCUACUGUAGUGUGUUGCUACGAGAUUUGGAGCCAAAAAGGAACCAUUGCCACCACCGUGAGGUGGUGGCUGUCAGCGUGAAUCAAUUGUUGUCGCCGCCGUAUGCCACCAAGGGAAGGUGGCUGAGUUCGUUUUGCAAGUAGAAAUUUUCGGGAAUCUGUCAGCCAGCAGUUGGGGUGGAGUUUGCGGGACUUCAGCAGUGUGGGAUUGUGUCUACGGGACUUCAGCAGUGUGAGGUACUCAGUUUUCAAAAGAGGAGCUCGGAGAGGUUGCAGUGCACACACCAUUUGUUCAGCCUGGGAUGUUUAUACUCUGAUAUAUUUGACAGUUGUUAUGAUAUUUUGAGAUAUAUUGUUUAUGAUUCUUAUACGACGUCGAUGAAUAUGGUUUUAUUACUGAUUUAAAACGAAAUUUUUAGACUGUA
This is a long non-coding RNA of Lactuca sativa (garden lettuce), 692 nucleotides long. RefSeq lists it as uncharacterized. NCBI's taxonomy places the organism in Eukaryota, Viridiplantae, Streptophyta, Magnoliopsida, Asterales, Asteraceae. The record is from RefSeq and is a predicted model, not a curated record.